UCCGGCUCAACGCCGGCAGUCUCUCUAGAGUCCCCACCAUUACGUGCUGGCAACUAGGAAAAGGGGUUGCGCUCGUUGCGCCACUUAAGGCAACACCUCACGGCACGAGCUGACGACAGCCAUGCAGCACCUGUGCGGGCUCCCGUAGGAGGACCGUGUUUCCACGGCUUCACCCCGCAUGUCAAGCCUUGGUAAGGUUCUUCGCGUUGCGUCGAAUUAAACCACAUGCUCCGCUGCUUGUGCGGGUCCCCGUCAAUUCCUUUGAGUUUUAGCCUUGCGGCCGUAGUCCCCAGGCGGAGCACUCAUUGCGUUUGCGCCGGCACCGAGGGGGUCGAUACCCCCGACACCUAGUGCUCAACGUUUACAGCGUGGACUAC
RNAcentral lists this unclassified non-coding RNA (377 nucleotides) under uncultured bacterium. Its description in RNAcentral is "contains 16S-23S intergenic spacer region". The record is from RNAcentral.